Molecule: ribosomal RNA, 252 nt
Filed under: uncultured bacterium
Lineage: Bacteria
Description: partial 16S ribosomal RNA
Rfam family: Bacterial small subunit ribosomal RNA
Source: RNAcentral
UACGAAGGGGGCUAGCGUUGUUCGGAUUUACUGGGCGUAAAGCGCACGUAGGCGGAUUGGUAAGUUAGGGGUGAAAUCCUGGAGCUCAACUCCAGAACUGCCUUUAAUACUGCCAGUCUAGAGUCCGGAAGAGGUAAGUGGAACUCCUAGUGUAGAGGUGGAAUUCGUAGAUAUUAGGAAGAACACCAGUGGCGAAGGCGGCUUACUGGUCCGGUACUGACGCUGAGGUGCGAAAGCGUGGGGAGCAAACAG